UACGGAGGGUGCAAGCGUUAUCCGGAUUCACUGGGUUUAAAGGGUGCGUAGGCGGGCAGGUAAGUCAGUGCUGAAAUAUCCCAGCUUAACUGGGAGGGUGGCAUUGAUACUGAUUGACUUGAGUGGAGUUGAGGUAGGCGGAAUUGACGGUGUAGCGGUGAAAUGCUUAGAUAUCGUCAAGAACACCGAUAGCGAAGGCAGCUUACCAAGCUCUAACUGACACUGAUGCACGAAAGUGUGGGGAUCAAACAGG
This 253-nucleotide ribosomal RNA is filed under the name uncultured bacterium. RNAcentral's name for it is "partial 16S ribosomal RNA". It matches the Rfam family "Bacterial small subunit ribosomal RNA", at positions 524 to 776 of the family's 1533-position model. The record is from RNAcentral.